GUAGAAACUAAACAAGAGUAGGCAAAUAACAAUAUACACAGGCGGAAGCAAACCAAAACAUAAAUACAAAUAAAGAUCCCUCCCAGAACCUGGAAGUCACUAGUACAGAGCUACUAACAAAAUGAGUACAAGUCCCAAAAGUGGACAACAGAGACUGGACUGUCUCGAAAGGUAAAAGACAAGUUUAUAUAUACAGAUGGAGACUGAAAUAGUACAAAACGUCGUGUGCUCACUCCCGUCUCCGGAUCAGUCUGCUCCAAGCUCGAUCAACGCUGGCUACUAGUGCCCGGACCUGCAUCACGAAAUAGAUGCAGAGCGUAGC
This 322-nucleotide long non-coding RNA is filed under the name Solanum tuberosum (potato). Its description in RNAcentral is "long non-coding RNA (STUB_LNC005114)". Lineage: Eukaryota; Viridiplantae; Streptophyta; Magnoliopsida; Solanales; Solanaceae. The record is from RNAcentral.